GUGGGGAAUCUUGCACAAUGGGGGAAACCCUGAUGCAGCGACGCCGCGUGAGCGAUGAAGCCCCUCGGGGUGUAAAGCUCUUUCGGCAGGGACGAUAAUGACGGUACCUGCAGAAGAAGCUGCGGCUAACUACGUGCCAGCAGCCGCGGUAAUACGUAGGCAGCAAGCGUUGUUCGGAAUUACUGGGCGUAAAGCGUGCGUAGGCGGUUGGCUAAGUUUGGUGUGAAAUCUCCCGGCUCAACUGGGAGGGUGCGCCGAAAACUGGCCGGCUAGAGUGCGGGAGAGGGAAGUGGAAUUCCUGGUGUAGCGGUGAAAUGCGUAGAUAUCAGGAGGAACACCUGUGGUGUAGACGGCUUCCUGGACCGUGACUGACGCUGAGGCACGAAAGCGUGGGGAGCAAACAGGAUUAGAUACCCGGGUAGUCC
This 425-nucleotide ribosomal RNA is filed under the name uncultured Acidobacteriota bacterium. RNAcentral describes it as "bacterial SSU rRNA". It matches the Rfam family "Bacterial small subunit ribosomal RNA", at positions 354 to 796 of the family's 1533-position model. The record is from RNAcentral. Lineage: Bacteria; Pseudomonadati; Acidobacteriota.